Non-coding RNA from Amborella trichopoda, 7331 nucleotides. The record is from RefSeq and is a predicted model, not a curated record. Lineage: Eukaryota; Viridiplantae; Streptophyta; Magnoliopsida; Amborellales; Amborellaceae.
AUUACAAAAAUAUAUAUUUUUUAAUUUUUUGGUCGGGUCGAGGUUCUAUAAUUUUUUUGGGCCCUCGUUCGGACCGGACCCAACCCGACCGUUGCCACCCCUAUGGGUCUGCUAGCCUUCAUUUCGACGGAAAGCAAGUUAACAUAGCUCAUAGUCUAAUAUUCAUGAAGGGACAUCCGCUGUCGGUAAUCUCCAUGUACAGUGGAUAUGAAGCGUUGGUUUUUGUAACGGACCGUGACAGCUUCUAAUUGCGCCGAAGGCUUCAUCUUUAUCGUCCGUGGAGGAGGAUGGACGAUGGAUGCUCCUUUUCUAAAGACCUUUGUUAACAUUUUACUUAAUGCAAUGAUGGCGACCAUGACUUGUUACGUUGACUCACCUAGGUGGCUCGAACAGUACAUUCUGGUGAUAAUUUCCAGGUCUCUCUUAUUGUUUAUUUUUUCUCUAAUUUUUUUUUUUUUUAUUGUUAUUGGUUUUUCCUUUAUAUUUUCCCUUAUGUUUUUCGAUAGUUUCACGAUGUAGUGUUGCAAUUGUUUGUUCUCAAAAAAUGUACUUCUCUGUUGGCUAGGGAUGAAUAUUCCAUCUCUACCCUUUCUUCUAUGUUUCUCUUCAUAUUUUUGAGUGGCAUGGUUUACUCUUGUGAGAGCACACUGUACACUUACUUCCCACAGUAAAAGAGUGUCUUAUGAAAGAAAAAUUUACAUAAAGAGUUUGAUACAUUUUGAGAAUCACCACGUAAGUAGUCUUUCAAAGAACAAGUUGAAUUUUAAGUUUAUGAAUACUUAGAUCUGCUAAAAAAUACUCGACCUUCGUUCAAACUCAGGAUGUUAUUUUUUCAAGCACCUAUAUAGUGGGUAUAGAAUUGUGUUCUUUUUUCUUUUUUUUCUUUUAUUGGGGUUUGGUUGGUUUGGUGAGGAGGUUAAGGUUACAUCCACAAAAUUUGAAGCCCCAAAAAUACUCCAAAAAUAUGAUUUUACCCAAGGGAAUGAAUGAAAAAUACUCCAAAACUAUGAUUUUACCCAAGGGAGUGAAUGACUAAUGUGGUCCAGUGGAUCAUAUAAUCUUUUGGCCAUAUUGUUUAGCCAGGGCUUAUGAAAACAUAUUUUUGUUUUUUGAAAACUUCAUUUAUAAUCUGAAGUGUGUGGUUUAUAUACGAUUGUAAUCUCACUUUCAGAAGUAAAGUCGUGGUAUUCUACACCAUCCAUUUAAUUUAAUGGUAUAUAUUUGACAUGUCUUUAAAGAUGAUUAAAAAGUAACAUAUUUUUUAAGAUAGUAUCAAAUCUAAACUAUCCAAAUAAAAUAGAUAGUACAGAAUACUACAAACUUAGUUCUACAAGUAAGGUUACAACUUUAUACAAACUUUUUUCUUAUCUUAAAUAACUGAAAAAGGAAAAAAAAUUAUGCAUCUCUCUCUAUAUAUAUGUGUGUGUGUGUGUAUGUGUGUGAGUUUUAUUUAACUUUUCUCUCUUUUAUUUUGGGUAAUUGGAUUGCAUCUAAUCUAAUGGUUGUGGUGUUGUGGAAACUUUAUUCGUUUAAAGGGAUUAAAACCUUUUUGUUUAGAGAGAGAAAGAGUGAGAAAAAGAUAGAGAGAUUGGGCUGCAAUUCGGUUUUCUCUUGAGAGCUUGGUAUGUUCUUUUUUAGAGAGAGAAAGUGAGCAAAAGGCUUGAACUCCAUUGUGGGUUUGUUGUGUACCCUGCUUUAGUAAAAGAAAGUGUUAAGGAGAACCCAUUUUUGGGUAUUCUUGGAGCCUUGUUUUUGGGGCGCAGUUUAGAGUGAGAAAGAGCUGCUGGAAAUUGAUAUUUUGAACUCGAUUUCACAUUGUAAUCUUCUCAAAUCAGUAAGUAAAGUCUCGCGCCAUUCUCCCAUGGAUGUGGGUCACAAUUUGUGACCGAAUUAAACCUUUGUGCUCUGUGGACUGAAUGUUGUUGUAUUUUUCAUUUUAUGAUCUUGCUUUGAUAUUAUGUAGUUUUCAUUGCUUGUUUAUAUUGAUAUGAAUGCAUAAUAGCUGUGAAUGUUAUAAAGCCUUGCUGAUUUUUCAGUAAUCGAUCCCAACAGCUGGUAUCAGUGCUUAGGGUUUGUUCUUCAUAAUGUUUGUGACGAAAGGGUUUUUUUUGCUAUUGUAGUUAUUUCUUGUAUUUUCCUUGAAAAUAAAAAAAGCAAUGGAAUUUGAAAGAUUAAAUCAAAGUAAUUGGCUAAUAUGGAAAAUGAUGAUAGAAGAUUAUCUUGUUGGAACAGAAUUGGAUCGGCCACUUCGAGGUAAGCAGGCCAUGCUUGUUGGAAUGGAAGAUUGGGAAUUGGAUGUUCUUGAUAAAAAAAAUGUUUAGUAGCGAUUAGACCAUGUAUUUCACCAUCAAUUUUAUUUGAUGUUUGUCAAUGUAAAACAUCUACAGAUCUUUGGCAAUCUUUAGAGCAAUCUUUUAAGCAACCCUCUAGUGCAAAUAAAAUGCAUGCGAUGAUAAAAUUAUUUCUUUUGAAAAUGAAAGAAAGUGUUAUAAUUAGGUCGUAUGUGAUUGCAUUUAAUUCAAUUUCGACACAAUUGAGGUAUUUGAAAGUGAAUUUGGAUGAAGAAGUGUUAUGUUUGCUUUUGCUGAGUUCUUUGCCUACUACUUGGGAUACCUUGAUUACCACUGUGACUAAUACAAUGGGUAACAAGUUUAAUUUAAAAGAUGUUCUAGCUUCAUUGUUAAAUGAAGAGAUUAGAAAGACAUCCACACAAAUGCUUGUCGAAUCAAAUCAAGCAUUGGCAGCAGGAAAUAGAGGAAGAACACAAUAGAGAGACCAACCCUAUGGAUUUAAUAGAGGCAAAUCUCAUAGCAAAGGCAGGUCCAAGUCAUAAAGCAAGGAUGUUAUUGCUGGUAUUGCAAGAAACAUGGUCACACAAGAAAAGAUUGUUAUGCCAAGGACAUGGACAAGGAUAGCCAUGCCGAAGCAAUUACAUUUUCAUAUGGUAAAGAUGGAGUCACUUUUAGUAUUGCAUACACAACAUUGUCUAUUGCAGAUAUUUGGAUUUUAGACUUUGGUGCUUCAUUUCAUGUUUGCCCAAAAAUGUCAUAUUUUUCAUCCUACACAGAUGUGGAUGGUGGCUUGGUUUAUCUUGAUGAUGAUCGGGCUUGCAAAAUAUUGGGCAUUGGAAAUGUUGUUAUCAAACAAUCAGAUGGAAAGAAGUACACAUUGAAAAAUGUGAGGCACGUUCCUGAGUUGAAGAAAAUCUCAUUUCAACCGGGCAGUUAAAUGACUCUGGUUUCAUAGUGACUUUUGAAAAUGGGUCAUGAAAGAAUUCAAGAGGUUGUAUGACAAUGUUAAAACAGAAAAAAGAUGAGAGUCUCUACACUCUUCAUGGCACAACUCAAAGGAAUGAUGCUACAGAGAAGAUCUUUGCUGCAGCUAGUAAGCAUGAGGAUACACAAAUUUGGCAUAGCCAGUUUGGGUCAUCUCAGUGAGCAUGGUAUGAAGGUAUUGUAAAUUCAAAAUCUUAUUCGUAUUUCUGAGCAUUCCUUUCUUGAUUUUUGUGUUCAUUGUGCCAUGAAUAAGCAGCGUAUAGUUAGUUUUAAAAUAAAUGAAACUCAUAGAAAAAAUAAAGCAUUAGAAUUGAUUUAUUCUGAUGUUUGUGGCCAUGUUAAUGUUAAAUCUUUUGGUGGAGAUUCUUAUUUUGUCACUUUUUUAGAUGAUUGUUCUAGAAAGUGUUGGUGGUAUCCAUUGGCAUCUAAGGAUCAAGUUUUUGAACUUUUCAAGGUUUUCAAAGCCAAGGUUGAAAAAGAAACAAAGAGAUUUAUAAAAUGCUUGCAAACUGAUAAUGAUGGUGAAUAUUGCUCGAAUGCUUUUAAUGAUUUUUGUAAAGAGAAUGACAUUCGCAGAGUAAGGACAGUUCCUGGGACACUACAAUAAAAUAGUGUCAUUGAGAGGAUGAAUAUGACCAUCAUUGAAAGAGUAAGAAACAUGUUAUCACAAUCUGGUCUUGGUAAGCAAUUUUGGGCUAAAGCUGUUAGUACAUAGGUAUAUUUGAUCAAUAGAUCUCCUAGUGCACCCUUGAAUAGUGACAUACCUGAAAUUCUCUAGAAAGGUAAAAGUGUGUCAUAUGAACACUUGAGAACAUUUAGGUGUGAAGAUUAUGUUCAAGUGCCUAGUGAAAGUAGAGCCAGGCUGGAUGCCAAGUCAAGAAGAUGUGUUUUUCUUGGGUAUGGUGGUGAUGAUAGAGGUUAUAGGAUUUGGGAUCCUAUUGCAAAGAAGACUAUUAGAAGUUGAGACAUUCUCUUUAAUAAAAAUGCAAUGUUUGCUGAAAAGAAGCAAAAAGAGUCAAAACAAGAAAGGCUUAUUGUGGAUAUACAAGAACCAAAUCUCAUUGUUUUACCACGGCAAGUGCAAGAGAGUCAAGUUCAAGCUCAAGACAAUUUUGAUGUAGGUGAUGCUAAUUAUGAGAAUGAUACUGAAUUAAUUCAAGAUGAAGAAUAGCUGCCAGUUACACCUGAGCUAGAAUUGAGAAGAUCCACACGCCCUCACAAGCCCAUACAAAGGUAUUUUCCUUCCUUAUACUUUGUAUACCGAUAGUGGUGAACCUGAGUCUUUUUAGAAGGCUGUUUAUUGCCCUAAUGUUGACAUGUGGCAUAAGGCAAUGGAAGAGGAGAUUGAUGCUUUGCAUAAGAAUGAUGCAUGGGAGUUGAUGGAACUUCCACAUGAGAAGAAAGCAUUGAAGAAUAGGCGUGUAUAUGCUAUUAAGUGGGAGGCAAAUGGUCUUAUGCGAUAUAAGGCCAGACUAAUGGUAAAAGUUAUGGGAAAAAACCAAGUGUUGAUUUUAAUAAAAUUUUUGCUCCUGUCGUUAAGCAUAGCUCUAUUAGAGUUGUUUUAUCUUUGGUUACUAACUUGAAUUUAGAGCUAGAGCAACUUGAUAUUAGAAGUGUCUUCUUGCAUAGUAAUCUUGAUGUAGAAAUUUAUGUGUCAACUUGAAGGUUUUGAUAACAAAACCCUUCCUAACUUGGUUUGCAAGUUGAAAAGGGAUUGUAUGGUUUAAAACAAGAAUCUAAGCGAUGUUAUAAGAAAUUUGACAAUUUUAUGCUGGGUGAAUGUUAUUUUAUAUGCGAUUUUGAUCAUUGUAUAUACUUCAAGGGUUCAGCAUAUGAUUCUUUUACUGUUUUGUUUAUUUAUGUUGAUGAUAUGCUUGUUGCUAGCAAUGAUCUGAGUGAAUCAAGUGUUUAAAGCUUGAUAUGUCCAAGCAUUUUACCACCAAGGAUCUUCGACCAUCCAAGAAGAUUUUGGGCAUGCACAUCUAUAGAGAUAGAAAGCAAGGUAAGCUUUGGUUAAGUCAAUCUGAAUAUAUUUCUAAAGUUCUUGAGUGCUUUAAUAUGAUUGACUGUAAACCUGUUUUUACCCCAUUAGUUGCACAUUUCAAGUUGUCUAAAAAGGACUCUCCAAUAAAUGAGGUAGAUAUAAGUAAGAUGAAGAAUGUUUCAUAUACUUUCGUAGUGGGUAGUUUGAUGUAUGCAAUGGUUUGUACUAGACCUGACAAUGCCCAUGCCGUGGGAGUUGUUUCCAAAUUUAUAUCUAAUCCAGGUUGGGAACAUUGGCAAGCAGUUAAGUAGAUUAUUCGGUAUUUGAAGGGGACACGAAAUGUAUGCUUGUAUUUUGGAAAUUCAUCAUUACAAGUUGUUGGUUAUGUAGAUGCAGAUUAUGCAGGAAGCCGUGAUACUAGAAGAUCUACCACUGGAUACAUUUUCAAUGUUGGUGGUGGUGCAGUCAGCUGGAUGUCAAGGUUGCAGGAUAUUGUUGUCUUGCCAUCAACUGAAGCUGAGUAUGUGGCAUUGAUUGAGGCAGCGAAGGAAGUGAUUUGGUUGAGAAGGUUACUUGGUCAGUUUGGGAUAAAACAGGAUAAAUAUGUUGUGCAUUGUGAUAACCAGAGUGCGAUUCAUCUGGUUAAGAAUGCAGCUUAUCACUCCAAGACAAAACAUACAGAGGUUAGAUAUCAUUUUAUUCGGUUGGCCCUUGAGCGUAGAGAUUUGCAAGUAGACAAGAUUCACACUGAGAAGAACAUUGCCGAUAUAUUGACAAAGGUUGUCUCAACUAAAUAGAAUAUGAUGUGUAGAAAACUUUCGGGGUUGGAGGAGACGUAACUUCGACUGGAUGGAGAGUGGCACAUUGGAAUUGGGAUAUUAGCAGUUUCAUAUGCAUUAUCAGAAACAGGGUGGAUGAGCUUACUGUUGCUAGUGCUUGUAGCCAUCAUAGCUGGCUAUACUGCCUCACUUCUCAUCCGAUGCAUGCAAGUGGAUCCGAAAAUUCAAGCCUACCCCGACAUCGCCAACAUUGCCUUUGGCCAUAAAGGAAAAAUCUUUGUGUCAAUAGCUCUAUGCCUCUCAAUGUACAUGAUUGCAGUGGAGCAACUGAUAAUAGAGGGUGACAAUUUGGAAAAUAUGUUUCCCAAUAUCAGUUUAAGACUUGGACAGUUAAAAAUAGAAGGGAGAAAAGCUAUUGUCCUCAUAUCUUCCUUGAUAAUAUUACCCACUGUUUGGCUAAGAGGUUUGGGCCCUCUAGCUUAUGUCUCAGCUUGUGGGUUUUUGGCCCCUAUGCUUAUAAUGGGUUCAGUUGUUUGGGUUGGCUUGUUUGAUGGGGUUGGAUUUCAUCCAAGAAAAAGGCUUUUUAGUAUUAAUGGUUUGCCCACAACUGCUAGUAUUUUUGCAUUUUGCUUCUCAGCACAUGGAGUUCUCCCCACCAUUAGUGCCUCAAUGAAAGACAAGAGCAAGUCCAUGAGAGUGAUAAUUGUUUGUUUUACAACUGCUGCUUUGAGCUAUGCAAUAAUGGCGGUAUCAGGUACCUAAUGUAUGGACAAGAAGUAAAGUCUCAAAUCACUUUGAAUCUUCCAAAAGGAAAGGUCAGCUCCAAGAUAGCUAUAUACACUAUCAUCACAAUUCCCAUUGUGAAAUAUGCAAUAAUUGUGACCCCAAUUGUACUUGCAGUAGAAGAGGCAGUCCCCAUUUGCAAGAGAAUAGCCUUGAGCCUUCUGUUUAGAACAAUGUUGGUGGCUAGCACUGCGAUAGUGGCUAUCACAGUUCCAUUCUUUGGGUAUUUGUUGGCCUUGGGUGGAUCAGCUCUUAGUAGUACCUUGAAUUUCGUCUUGCCAUGCCUUUUUUACUUGAAGAUCACUAAGAAUUCAAAACAUGGAAAGGUGGAGUUGGGGAUCAUAGUGGGAAUUGUUGUCAUGAGCUCCAUUGUUGCAGUUCUAGGGACAUAUACAUCUAUGAAAAGGAUCUUGCAACAUCUAUAAAUAUCUAUGCUAGGUUGUUUGAGAGGUGAUUGCGCUCGGAUUAGCUAUAAGUUUGCAAACUUCAGUAAGAUUUUAUUUUGUCUUA